Molecule: long non-coding RNA, 511 nt
Filed under: Salmo salar (Atlantic salmon)
Lineage: Eukaryota; Metazoa; Chordata; Actinopteri; Salmoniformes; Salmonidae
Description: lncRNA (ENSSSAG00000114499.1)
Source: RNAcentral
GCUGCUGACGUUGUAGUGGUUGGGGAUAUAUUUGUUGUCAUAGAAGCUACAGUUGUUGUUGUAGGUGCUGCAGUUGUGGUUGUCGUAGCAGCUUCAGUUGUAGUUGUCGUAGCAGGUGCUGCAGUUGUGGUUAUCGUAGGAGCUUCAGUUGUAGUUGUUGAAGUAGGUGCUGCAGUUGUAGUGGUUGUAAGAGCUACAGAUGGUGUUGUAGGAGCAUCAGUUGUAGUUAUUUUAGCAGAUGCAGCGGUUGUCGAAGUAGGUGGUGUAGUUGUGGUCGUAGUUGCUACGGUUGUCGAAGUAGGUGGUGUAGUUGUGGUGGUAGGAGCUACAGUUGUACUUGGAGCUACAGUUGUGGUUGUCGUAGGAGCUACAGUUGUCGUUGUAGGUGCUGCUGUUGUAGUGGUCGUAGUAUCUAAAGUUGUAGUAGGAGUAUCAGUUGAGGUUGUCGUAGUAGCUGCGUUUGUAGUGGUCGUAGUGGGUGCUUCUGUUGUAAUGGUCGUGGGAUCUAAAG